This 463-nucleotide long non-coding RNA is filed under the name Ananas comosus (pineapple). Its description in RNAcentral is "long non-coding RNA (ACOM_LNC028162)". The record is from RNAcentral. Lineage: Eukaryota; Viridiplantae; Streptophyta; Magnoliopsida; Poales; Bromeliaceae.
CGAACACGUAUGAAAUGAGACAGCCGAAAAAUCGGCUAAGUCCUGGAGGAUCAGCUCUCGGGAACCGGUCUCUGUCUGAGAGACCGGUCCCCCGGAGACCGGUCCCACCAGAGAGGGACCGGAUGCAUUGCGCGCGGCAGCUCUGGCUGCGCAGGGUGGACCUUCGGGGACCGGUCCCUGCUCGGGGAGACCGGUCUCNAAAGGUAUCGCGCCUUAGUCAGAGGCCACCACAGUUGGGUUCAUUUUGUAGUAAAGUACCCUAUGAUCAUCUUUUGUACUUGAUGAUGAAUGAUGUAAAGAAAGGAAUGUAAUGUGUAUUUUGAGGUAAAUGUGAUGUAAGAAAGAAAUGAUGAAACGAAAUGUAAGGAAUUCGAAAAAUUACAAGUUGGAUGUAUGUAUAUGAUCUAAAUUGAAUCAUACUACAAGUGAAUGUUUAGUUUUCCUUUCUUUCACUAAUGGCUAU